GUGCCAGCAGCCGCGGUAAUACGAAGGGUGCAAGCGUUAAUCGGAAUUACUGGGCGUAAAGCGUGCGUAGACGGCCUUUUAAGUCUGCUGUGAAAGCCCUGGGCUCAACCUGGGAACUGCAGUGGAUACUGUGAGGCUGGAGUGCGGUAGAGGAUGGUGGAAUUCCCGGUGUAGCGGUGAAAUGCGUAGAGAUCGGGAGGAACAUCAGUGGCGAAGGCGGCCAUCUGGACCAGCACUGACGUUGAGGCACGAAAGCGUGGGGAGCAAACAGGAUUAGAAACCCCGGUAGUCC
RNAcentral lists this ribosomal RNA (292 nucleotides) under uncultured bacterium. RNAcentral describes it as "partial 16S ribosomal RNA". It matches the Rfam family "Bacterial small subunit ribosomal RNA", at positions 505 to 796 of the family's 1533-position model. The record is from RNAcentral.